UGGGGAAUAUUGGACAAUGGGCGCAAGCCUGAUCCAGCAAUGCCGCGUGUGUGAAGAAGGCCUUCGGGUUGUAAAGCACUUUUAUCAGGAGCGAAACGCUGUCGGCUAAUACCCGGCGGAACUGACGGUACCUGAGGAAUAAGCACCGGCUAACUUCGUGCCAGCAGCCGCGGUAAUACGAAGGGUGCAAGCGUUAAUCGGAAUUACUGGGCGUAAAGCGUGCGUAGGCGGUUUCUUAAGUCUGCUGUGAAAUCCCCGGGCUCAACCUGGGAAUGGCAGUGGAUACUGGGAGGCUAGAGUGUGUCAGAGGGUGGUGGAAUUCCCGGUGUAGCGGUGAAAUGCGUAGAGAUCGGGAGGAACAUCAGUGGCGAAGGCGGCCACCUGGACAACACUGACGCUGAGGCACGAAAGCGUGGGGAGCAAACAGGAUUAGAUACCCUGGUAGUCCACGCCCUAAAGCGAUGCGAACUGGAUGUUGGUCUCAACUCGGAGAUCAGUGUCGAAGCUAACGCGUUAAGUUCGCCGCCUGGGGAGUACGGUCGCAAGACUGAAACUCAAAUGAAUUGACGGGGUCAUAGCUGUUUCCUG
This 588-nucleotide ribosomal RNA is filed under the name uncultured bacterium. RNAcentral describes it as "partial 16S ribosomal RNA". It matches the Rfam family "Bacterial small subunit ribosomal RNA", at positions 355 to 1376 of the family's 1533-position model. The record is from RNAcentral.